UGCCAGAAGCGGUUUAGUCAUGCUGGCCACAUGACCUGGCCUGAAGCGAGAUGAGUGCUGCACCACAUAGUCUCCUUUGACUGGACUUAAUCGUCCAGGGGUCCUUUACCUUUACCUUACCUUUUCCUUCUGGGUUAGAGGAGACAAGUCAGUGGACAAAUUCAAUGAAAAAGAAGAUGAGCAACUGCUACCACCAAUUCACUCCCUCAUCUAGCAGAUAUAUUGCUUCAGCAGUUGGAGCAGGUCAGCAGGCCCCAGCUGUUCCCCUUGAGACUUCCUGGCUCUCCGAUCUUCCUCAACAGGUUGAGUGGUGAGUCGAUAGCAGUGGGAUGCUAGGAGGUAACCACCUUGUCCUUUGCCUUAGGCAGCAAAAGUUACUUAUUUGCCCUGUCCCAGAGCCUGCUAUUUUUGCCAUUUUAACCUCUGCACAUGAUGCACGACUCUUUUAAAUCUGACAAGGCAGUGGAAACGCUAGCAGCAAACAAUGAAAAACAAGGCUUGUGGGGGGAAUAAUGGCUGGUGCAUGAGGGCUUGUGCGCUUGGCCACAUUCCUUGGGCUGUUAUGGAAGUGUUUGGAAAUUUAGUUACUGCAAGACUAAAAUUUGCCUAUUUGGGACAUGUCGAUGCCUCCCAUUUGUACCUUAGAACUUGGAAAUCUUCCUUUUAUAAAAGACCUACAUUGGUGUUUGUUUUUUUUUAAAAAAUCAACAACCCUCUAAAUGGAUGUUUCUUCUUCCCAUCAGUUCAUGCUUCCAGCUAUGAAGGAUUUAUCUACCGUGACCUCUCUGAUUUAGUGUUUUGUGCCAUUGGUAAUCAUGUGUCUUGGGCUCCCAUAAACAUUCUCAUGGCACAGGGACAAGGCACCUUAAUAAGGUCAGUGCCAUCAGAGCCUUGUAGUUACGAAGGCUUGUGCUUGGUGGAACAGAACUGUAUUCAAUGAGCCUUGUUUUCAUUUGUGGGCAACUCAAACGGAUUGGACAAGGAAUGUGUGAAAAUUGCUUUUUGACAGAGAGCAAGACACAAUGAAUAUCAUGAGGGUACUUUUUUCCCCCUUUGCCGUCAUGAAUCAUAGGCCUCUAUGGUGAUCGAGAAAAGUGAGACUGUGGAGCUUUUUAAUGCGCUACCAGCCAAGCAACUGAAUUUUUCAUAACCCCUUAUGGUUUUACACAGUUGAACAAAAGAACAGUUCAUAAUAUUGUACCAGAGGUGUUUGCUUAGUGUUAGUGGUACACAAAGGAAGGUUUCAAUGGGUUGUGGCUUUGUUUGGUAGCCUAUUCAUUUCUGACAAACAGAAUGUCCUUGUUUCAUUUUAUGAGCUGACUGAUGAACUUCAGGUUAAUGCAACUAACAUCAACAUCACAGGAGGUGAGCAACAUUAUGGGAGGAGAAAACUUUGGAAACCUUAUGAGAAGCUGGUGAAAGUGAAGGACUGCAAGGAACAUCAUGCAAAGAGUGUUUAUAGGACCAAGGUGAAACUGUAAAGCUCCCUUGCUAUUUUUGUUAUUGGAUGCUGGAUGUAAUCAUGUAUUUAUAGUUCUGAAAUGUUGUUUUUGGAUAAUAUUGUAUUUGCUAUUGUGUUGUUUUGUUAUGUGAAUAGGACAUUCUUUUUGUACUGCUUGGUUUUGAAAUGUAUUUUGUUGUAAGCUGCUUUGAGUCUGGUGUGUGUGUGUGUGUGUGUGUGUGUGUGUAAACGUGACACACAAAUGAAUGAAUGAAUAUUCUUGUUCGACAUGACAAAUCCUUUAGGCUGGAUUCCAUCUGUUUUCACAUUUUGAGUACCAGAUUACUGGAGGGCAGGAACCCAGAGUAAACAUUUUCACUUGCACUAAAUAUAGAUCAGCCACACCCAUGAUCAUGAAAUGUCUUUUCUUUAAGACAUACUGUAUAUGAUGAUAAAAUGGUUGUGAUCCAUGAAUAAUGUGUGAAGGGAGUUUGUACUUUACAAGUCAUCACAGUAGCAUGAACAUCAGAAGAGCUAAGCUGGAUCAGGUCAAAGGUUGAUCUUAGUAAAAAAAACACAGCCCCCCCCUUUUGUUAUAACAAUUUAAUUUAUAACUUGUUUAUAGCAUUUUUUCUUUCUGUGUGUAGAUCCAUCCCUGGUCACAGCGGCCAACCAGAUGCUUCCGGGAAUCUCAAAAAGAGGGCCUGAAGGCAGCAGCCCUCUCAGCUGUUGCUCCUUAGAGGUCACUAUUUCUCUGAACCUGAAGGUAGUAUAUAGCCAUCCUAAUUAAUAAGCAAUGGUAAUCUAAUCAUUUGUGAAUUAAUCUAAUUCCAUUUUGCAGGUAUCUAAGCAAAUGCCCCCUGCCAUAUCUGGUGGUUAGGAAUUCCAUAAAUUCAUUAUGUGCAAGAAUCACAGGAUGACCCUGAGUGUUAUGAGAUAAAACUCGUCUCUGUCCACUUUCUCUACACUGUGUGUAGUUUUAUAAAUCUCUGCCAUGUCCCCCAUUAAUACACCCCCCCCAAACUAAAAGGUUCCCCAUUCUGGGCUUUUUUUCAGCUGGAACCUCUCAGGUGGGCACCAUUGCCAUUCUAAGAGAACAAGGGAGGCCUUCAUGGUGAGUUCUGGCACCUAUUUUUCUAGAAAAAUGGCACUGCCCUCAAUGCGUCAUCUCAGGGGUGGGAACUACAGCCCUAGGAGCCAAAUGUAGCCCCCUAAACCUCCCUACGUCGCCCCAGGGACCACACCCCUUCCUGGCCACAGCCUUUCUCCACAAGACGCAAUCGCCGCUGCACCUGCUCUCUGCCCACCUCAAGAUUAUGUGAUGUCUGGAUAGAGCUUGGGGAGAUAAUGUGUGCAUGUAGAAACCUCUGAUUUGUAUGUGGUUGGAAUAUAGUAAUGCAACAGUAAGAGUUGCAUCUAGUGUCCUUUCGCCUUUUGCAAUCACUGUCAAGUGACUCUUGGAAGGGUCUCCAUGAGGGAAUGUGUCUUUUGGGUUGGUUUCCCCGUGUAACCCUGAAGAUUUAUGCUGAUAUCCUAACUCACCAAAUGAGUGGCUUUUGUAGUUAAAUUUCUCUAGUUCCUCAUUUAUUUCCAAGAGCUCUACAGUUUAUUUGUGUGAGGUGGACGCAUAGAAUUAGGUUCGGUUGUUUUGCAGAAAUACAGCAUGGGCCCUUUAAAUAAAAGAGUAAUUUUCCUCUACACUUUCCCCUCAUAAGUAGGCCACCCAAGAGUUCCUGUUUCAUAUCUGUAACACGUCGAUAAUGCAGCAGUUUUAAUUAGGUAUUAUGCAGAGGGGGCUAGGUCAUGCAUUUUAAUACCAAAGUUGAAAGAAGUCUGUGGAACACUAGAGGUCAGUUUUGCAUGAUAAUAAAAUUAUUUUUUCCUUGCAGGGCAGAGGUCAGUAUCCUAACUAAGGGUUUUUUUAGAAUUUCACGGUGAAUUUCAUGAAUAUUUAUUUGUUAGGGCAUAUAUUAGCAAGCUGGGAGAGUCUGAGCAUUUACACGAAGUGUGGGUGACUAAUUACAAGCGAAUCACAAGACCCAGCCAAAAAGAGAUGGAAAGAACAAUACUGAGCCAAAAUAUAGAAUCAACCUGGAGAUGACUUCUCCUUAGAAGCACAGCACUGCAGAUCUUUUUGGAUCAUCUGGUGGCUAGCAAGUUUGUGUUUUCAAAACCUGCUUAUGAAAUAGCAUGUAAUAUGAUAUGAUAUUGAAUGCCCUCAUCAAAACAAGCCCACCUUGAGUGAGGUUGCAUGAGCAUUUGUAGGGUUUGUAGAUGAAGGCCUGCCAGCCCAUAAGGCAAGGUAAGGCAACCAUCUCAGGUGGCGGGGUCCAGAGGGGCAGAAGAUCCUGAUGCAGAUCUUUUUUCUCCCCCAUGUCCCUGAAGUAGAUCUUUACUCACCCCUUUUGCCCUGGUGGGGUGGGGAAAACCAUUUUUUGGUUCACCUCAGAUGCCAAAAUGUCUUCGGCCGACACUUUCCUAGGCCAUAUUAUUUUCAUUUUUUUUAAAGCCUUUUUCUUAAAAAUUAAUAAUAAAUCCUGCUACGUUAGCUUCGCUUUACAUAAGUAAUCUCCUUUCCACAUACACGUAUAUUCUAUGUCUGUAGCAAAAUGGCAUAAACCAAAAUGCGGUUAUGUGGCCAGAAUUCAUGUUACAAAGAACAUAUUGAAAUUUUCAAAAAUACUUACUCCACACAGGUGAAGUGUGCAGGGUUGAAAGAGCAAAAUAAUUCUGAAUGAGAAAGAGCUGCAAAGCAAGAUGGUCUCAAUAUUACAUGAAAAAUCAUUGCAUAUUAUAUAUUUGUGACAUGGUUUGCUUGUUCCCUGAACCUGUUUCAAGGCACUUCUAAAGCUUUAGAUGAGUAGUGGCUAGAGAUGGUUGGGUCAGUACAUUUGCUGCUUUGCAUUUUAAGUCUCUUCAACUCCAUUUUCUUUUCUUUCUUUUCCAUUUUUAAAAAAAUAUCAUUCUUCACACCACACAUAAAACAACAUAACUCACAACACACCAAAUGCUUUGCUUAAAAAUAUCAAAUCAUAUUCUUACAGUUCCUCCCAAAAAUUAUUUCAGCGUAUUGCCAUGAGAUCUCAGAGGAUUAUGAGCACAAUCUUCUUGAUGCAUAAAAUCCAUUGAACCACAUUUGCCAUUUUGUUGCCUAUUCGCUUAGUUUGAAGAGAUCCUUUCGGAAGAAGAAGCUUCAAUGCAACAGACUCUCCCUCAGGCUACUACUCAUCAUAACAGCAAACACAACUGGUUGGCCAAAGCUAUGUUUGUCAUUGAAUUGAUGGUGUUUCUGGGUUUUAUCACUUUCCACAAAUUCUAGACCACUCUAUUACUUAGCAAAUAUGUUCAUUCUCAAAGUGUUGCUGGCUCCCCCCCCCCCCCCGCUUAUCAGACAAAUCACCUAGACUCCUGCUUAUGCAUGAGCAUGGAGGAAAGCUAUUAAACCAUUGGAAAGGGGGCAAAAUUAAAUUACAGCCAAUUAAAAUGCAACAGGCAAUGCAAUUGCUUUACCUUUGAGAAGGCCUCACGCCUAUUGCUAUUCAGUUCAGCCUGGAUGUACAUGUUGCUGCUCCCGCUUGCUAAAUGGAAAUAAUUGCUUGGAAUUUGCAGUGUCAUUAACAUUGCACAGAAAUGACUCUAAUCUUCAUGGAAUUCCUGCAUAAUUAUUUGCAUUACAUGCUAGCACCUUUUACAUCUCUCAUCAUCAUCCUUCUGUGCUCUUUUUGAGCUUUUGGGUCUGUAAUAUUCAAGACUGCUUAAUUCAGAGAGUAACGUUUUAAAAAGACAACUAAAAGACUCGUGAACAUUUGAAAAUUGAAGGGCCCUGUUCUAGCUAAAGUUCCAGUAUGAUCCUAUACAUGUCUACUCAAAGGUAAGCCCCACUGAAGACAUUGGGGCUUACUCCCAGUGAAGUGUGCCUAGGAUUCUCACGAUUAAGUCCUACUAAAACCUAUGGAGCUAGUCAGCUAUGGUUCACCUAAGUUCAAAAGUGAGGGGGGGGGGAAUGGCCGCAGGUCUUUGUUCCUGCCAUCCACCUCAAGAAUCAAAAUCUCUUGCACUGAUCCUGUUCUUAGUAACCUCAAAGUCACCAGCUCUGGGAAAGUCAGGCUGCAUUUUUGUGUAAUCAGCCUGAAACCGGUGGCAAGCUUUAUUUAUGAAGACAAAAUGAUGUAAACAAAACCAAAAGAAGAAAAUAUAAUAAAAUAACAAAACAACAUGGAUGCAAAAUGAAUUAGCAGUGCGAUGAUUUAAACCACAGUGCCUCAAAGUCACAUUUUUAUAGGAGCGAAAGCAAACCUGAGUGCUCAUUCCCAAACUUCACAUUUUCAAAUUGAAUAAGCAGUGCUUGAUUCAGCCCUGGCUGAAAUUCUAGAGGUGCAACUUAAUUAUAAUCUAUGAGUGUUGAAAAGAUGUAAAUAGAUGGGAAAGCAGUCUGUAUGGGCCGAUCUCGUGUCACGGCAAAAGUAAACAACAAAAGUAAGCAACAACCCAAAAAAGAAUUAGGGAGGCAAACUGAUAGAUGUAUAGUUCAGUUGAUCCAUCUUGGCACAUCAUAAUUUGCAUUUUCCAAGUACUGGAUCACAAAGCUCAGUGUACGCUGACAUUGUAUGUUACCUCCUUUUACAAUGAGUAAAUAGACUAUUUGGGGAACAGGAUUAUGACAGCAUCAUUCUGACGUCUCCCAAAAUAAUUUUGUUGGGAGAAAAUAUGUAGUUAUUAUCUUUUGUCAGCAUAUUACACUAAUAUGAAGAUCUAUUUAGCUGUGAUAUUAAGGGCGGUCAGGUGUCCUGCUUACAGAGGGCAGCCCUCUAUUUGAAAAAAGUCCUCCAUUAGAGUCCAGGGCUGGUUUACAGAUAUGGAACCACAUGAAAGCAGAGUAGGGGCCUUGAAAUAGUAAGAAACUAUAUGGAAAACAGACUAGGCAUAUUAGGGCACCUUGUCACAGAACAUGCCACCAUGGUGAGAUGUAUGGUGUGUGUUUGUGCUUAAAUUAUAAUAAUUCUUUUGUAAUUUGCACUUAUAUGCACACGUUAGCAUUUGAAAAUUUUAUUCAACUUGAUGUCCUUUUUGUGUAAUAUGCAUUUCCUUUUUUCUUCCUCUUGUGAUGUGACAGGGAAGCCCUCAAGGGCACAGCAGCAGGCCAAGAUGCAAAGAUUCUUCAGACUAAAGAUUCACUUUGGGAGGAAUGGAGGGGGGCAUGCAGGGAGGGCUCGGUCAAAUGGUGUUUAACAAUAUGGGAGAAGGGAGUGGGUAAAAUUGAUGGUGUUGUGAAGAGGAGUGAACUUGCUAACAGGGAACUAACUUAAGACUGAUAACAUCCGGCAUCAAGGCCUGCUUGGCUGACUCUUUAAUUUUCACAGGCAUUCAAAGUCAUCAAACAGAAAGGGGAGGAAUUUACACUCUCCUGUCACUUCAAAAUUGCUUCUCAACAGAGAAUGAAGAGGCUGUUUUAGGGGGAGAAUGUGUGCCUUCCAAACCUGGCCUUUAUACUUUUGUACACCAUCCCAAUCUCUGAGCAACGUGGAAUUCCAGGGGUUCAGGGUUUGUGUUUCCUUUGGGAAUGAGGCACGAUGGAGACUGUGGUGUCUUUAUGAUAUAUGGUUUAAUUACACAUAUAUACAACCUGAGCCUGCGAUGAAGGGGGGGGGGUGUCACAGCAUUAACACCUCAAAAGGGUCUUGUUUCUCCUGUAACCACAACCUUGGAUUCAAGCAAAGAUUAGGUGUUGCUCUCAAACAUUUCUCUGACUCUCUCUCCAACUUGCUGCUUCACUUCUUAUCAUUCUUACUUCAUAUCACUGCAAUUCAUUCUAUCUUAUUGAGUGAGGGGACCCACCACCUUGCUGUCUCACACAGUGCCCCUUCCUUUUGUUCCCCUUAAUGGCCCAUCACCCAGGCUAUCACCUUGAGUUUGUCAACACUUUGUUAACAAGGCCAUCACUUUAGGAGUCAAUGCAAUUCAUGUUUUGGAAAAGUCUUAUGUGUCUCUACAUGUCUUAUGUGUGACAAUAUUUGACAUGCAAACUUUCAUUGCAUACAGUGGGAAAGGUUUGGUUAUUUGCAGGGAAACCUCGCAGAGCCUUUUUAUUGAUGUUCUGCUGUUGCCACUGGCUCUUAUAGAUUUUCUACUGAAUAUAAUGGAACUUAUGUCAAACACUUUGGAAGCCCAGCUAAUCGUUUACAAGUAAUUUGCUUGUUAACUGUUGAUCUUAAGGAUCUGUAUUAGUCGUUAAAACUUUGGCUGGCCUUGCAGCACCAUGUGACCCUGAAAAACACAUUUCCUUUCAUCAUCUUUCAUUAUUUUUACGUGGGGUAUGUAUUUGGAGUGGCACUGGGAACUUGCCACAUUCAGCCUUAUCUGGAGUCUUCAGCUUCUACCAAACAAGACAGGACUGUUAGCACCUGCCUUGAAAGAUCCAGUUUCCAAGGAUUUCUGACGUAUUCCACAUUCGUGCAUAUUGCAGCUUCUGGCAUAAUUCCACCCCCCAACUCUUUUAUCUAACUUCAUUUGUAGAAUUGUUCCUCACAAUCAUGCACGGAUAUCAACAAACAUCACUGAGGCUUCAUUGACUCUGUUUUUAAAGGACAAGCCUCCAGCCAUGCAGAUAGCAUUCUCGUUGUUUCGAGCAUUCCUCAGUGCCUUUCUUCUGCCUUUUAUGCCCCAAACUUAUUCUUCCACGGGGAGAAGAAAAUCCUAGCCUGAAGUCAACUGAGCCUGAAGCUUCAGCUUUGAAGGGCUGCUAUGCAGGAGAGCUAAAAUACUGUUCUGGGGUACACUUGAACAGUCAUUGCCAGAAGGAACUGACAGCUCCUUGUGGGGAACGGAAAAAGGUGGAGUUAAUUGAGCAUGGCAAGGGAGAUUGAAAGCAAACAAGACAUAUUUCUGCUUUUCUUUCUUUCUAAAAGUAGGAUUCAAGGUGAAUAUCAGCUAAGGCACCAGAAAGGGCUAUUUUGAAGCAAUAAAACCGAUUAGACAUUUUCUUUUGAGCUUCCCAAAUGAGUCCCUACCCUUUUUACACACUAAUGAGUUAACUGUCCCCUCCCCCCAUAGAAAUCCAUGGAAAUUUGACAUCCUUCCACAGGGCCUGCAAGACAGAGCUGUUCCGCCAGGCCUUUGGUCAGGGUUCAGCCUGACUCAUUUUCUCUUUGUAUAAGAACAAGCACGAAGAAGGUUCCCAGCCCACUCAUAGGUCCUUAUAAUAUCAGUGGAAACAGUUGGUCUUGGUGAGUAUUAGCCACUUCCAGUUUUAACCUGAAGAUUGCCACUUGUCCAGUUUUAAUUUUAAUUUAAGAAUUAAUUGUGGGAUGUAUCUUAAUUGAUUGAUCGCUUGUAUUAUGCAUAUCGUCUAAUUUAUAUGAUGUUAGCCACUCUGAGCCUGACUUUGGCCGGGGAGGGCGGGAUACAAAUAAAAUUUGUUAUUAUUAUUAUUAUUAUUAUUAGUCAGGAAACUAAUCAGAGGCAUUUCUCUGUUGCAAUGAACUGACUCUCUCAGUAUAGGUCAGUUUCUGCUACCUUUUUUUCUGUUGAGGAGCACAUUCCAUUUGGGUAAUCUGUCAGGAACCACACGCCAGUAGAAGGUGGAAGGCAGAUCCAAAGGUGUGUCGUCCAUUUGCUUUCCUCUGCCUUUCUGUCGCUCCUUCACACUCUCCUCCCUCAUUUCUCCCAUCUUUGAUACCCAUGUCCCUGGGCUUCUCUCCAGGUCUUCUACUCAGCAUGUGAUAUGAUCAGGCCAAAGCACUCAUUAAACAACGUGUAGCAGACACAGAGCGCCAAAGAGAUCUAGCCAGGACCCCAUCUUUUAUCGCCAGUGAAUCUGCCAGGUACUCUGCCUCCCCCAUGGCAUAUCUAACUAAACUUGAAGUCCCUAAGCAUCAGAGGGCCUUUACCCUGGCACGAUGUCUCGCCCUCCCCUUGGCUGUUAUUGAAGGUCAAUAUAGGAAGAUUGCUUACUCAGAGAGACAAUUCGCCUGUGAUUCUGGAUAAAUAGAAACAAUAGAGCAUGUGCUUCUCCAGUGCCUAUAUUACAGAGACAUCCAUCUCCUGGACUUCCCUCAUACUUCUGUUUUGUUUUCCAUUUUGUUCACCCUGCGUAUUGUUUCCUAAAAUUUUUCUCAAUACAUAUCGUCUUCUUUUUUUUUUUAAUACAGUUGUGAUUGUUUAUUCAAACCCUGCCAAUGAGUCCAUUUCUUUAUGUUGCCUCUUCAUAUAUGUUGUAAAUAG
Non-coding RNA from Podarcis lilfordi (Lilford's wall lizard), 9661 nucleotides. The record is from the annotation of a GenBank genome assembly. Lineage: Eukaryota; Metazoa; Chordata; Lepidosauria; Squamata; Lacertidae.